This 671-nucleotide long non-coding RNA is filed under the name Phaseolus vulgaris (common bean). RNAcentral's name for it is "long non-coding RNA (PVUL_LNC003697)". Lineage: Eukaryota; Viridiplantae; Streptophyta; Magnoliopsida; Fabales; Fabaceae. The record is from RNAcentral.
UUACCAAAAUUAUAACAGAAACCCUUUAUGAAUAAUUUACAGUAGGUAUAUCGACAGAUUUUGCUCGAAAGUAUAACACAAUUCUCUUAUUUAGCCAUAAUGAACACUAGUGUAUUAUAGGUAGAUGAACUAUAGAACAAAUUAAGAGCUAAUUAACACAAUUGACAUCACUGCAUAAGCAAAGAGGGUUGAGAGAAGAAGUUACCAAUUGAAGUCUCGCGAGCUAUCAUUGGUUACCUACAAAUUUGCAUGUUAGGUAUAUCUACGAAUUUUACAUCGGUUACCGAAGACAUAACACUUGUUGGAGAUCUCAGAUCGAUUCAAGAUUAAAGUAUUUCAUAAUAUAUAGACAGAUGUAAAUCUCAUCUCAUAAACUAGAUUUAUAAAUUGAACUUAAAGUCCAUUUCUCAAUAAAUCAUCUCUAAUUUAGGUAUAUCGACAAAUUUUGUAUUGAUUUUUGAAGGCAUAACACAAUCCUUCUCAUCAUGUAGUUAGAUAUGAGACCAACUAGGACAUUAUAGAACUUUUGUUAAGUCCUCUCAAAAGCUGAAAAGUUAUCAUCAUAAAAUAAGUUGAACAAAAAAGACACUACGUUGACAUUGUCACAUAAGCAAAGAAGAAGGUUGAGAGAAGAAGUUACCAAGAAACCUGGCAAGAAAUCAUCAGAGUUG